RNAcentral lists this ribosomal RNA (301 nucleotides) under uncultured bacterium. Its description in RNAcentral is "partial 16S ribosomal RNA". It matches the Rfam family "Bacterial small subunit ribosomal RNA", at positions 509 to 807 of the family's 1533-position model. The record is from RNAcentral.
CAGCCGCCGCGGGAAUACAGAGGGUGCGAGCGUUAAUCGGAUUUACUGGGCGUAAAGCGUGCGUAGGCGGCUUCUUAAGUCGGAUGAGAAAUCCCUGAGCUUAACUUAGGAAUUGCAUUCGAUACUGGGAAGCUAGAGUAUGGGAGAGGAUGGUAGAAUUCCAGGUGUAGCGGUGAAAUGCGUAGAGAUAUGGAGGAAUACCGAUGGCGAAGGCAGCCAUCUGGCCUAAUACUGACGCUGAGGUACGAAAGCAUGGGGAGCAAACAGGAUUAGAUACCCGAGUAGUCCCUGUCUCUUAUAC